Molecule: microRNA precursor, 204 nt
Filed under: Oryza barthii
Lineage: Eukaryota; Viridiplantae; Streptophyta; Magnoliopsida; Poales; Poaceae
Description: MIR812 microRNA precursor family
Rfam family: MIR812 microRNA precursor family
Source: Rfam by way of RNAcentral
AAAAAGACAAACCCUGGUUUCUGUGUCCAAUGUUUGACCGUCCGUCUUACUUGAAAAAAUUAUGAAAAAAAUUAAAAAGAUAAGUCACGCACAAAGUAUUAAUCAUGUUUUAUCAUCUAACAACAAUAAAAACACGAAUUAUAAAAAAAAUCAUAUAAGACGGACAGUUAAAGUUGGACACGGAAACCCAGGGUUUGCCUUUUU